RNAcentral lists this ribosomal RNA (208 nucleotides) under uncultured bacterium. RNAcentral describes it as "partial 16S ribosomal RNA". It matches the Rfam family "Bacterial small subunit ribosomal RNA", at positions 28 to 225 of the family's 1533-position model. The record is from RNAcentral.
GACGAACGCUGGCGGCGUGCUUAACACAUGCAAGUGGAGCGACGAACCAGGGCUUGCCCUGGGGCAGAGCCGCGAACGGGUGAGUAACACGUGGGUAACGUGCCCCGAUGAUCGGGACGAACCCGGGAAACCCGGGCGUAAUACCGAAUGUGCUCCCCUCCACACUAGUGAGGGAGUGGAAAGGAAGACUUCGGCCUCCGCAUCGGGA